Molecule: long non-coding RNA, 8246 nt
Filed under: Manihot esculenta (cassava)
Lineage: Eukaryota; Viridiplantae; Streptophyta; Magnoliopsida; Malpighiales; Euphorbiaceae
Description: long non-coding RNA (MESC_LNC004294)
Source: RNAcentral
CUCAUCAUACACAAGUUUAGAGGAACAAAAACAUUUUUAAACAUAGAUCAUGCUUACAAGAGGGGUUAUCAUGCAAACUCGGUCAAGCACCACUUCUAAACCUCAAUCUCAUAAUCGAUAUUUACAUAACGUAACUGUUCAUAACUUUACAUCAUUUUACAAUUUAUCAUGUCCACAUUCUAUCUAUUACAACUCAAGACUUCAUUCACCUUGACUUCUCUGUCUAGCCUGAACCUGCAACCCUGGGGGGAUUAGGGAAAAGGGGUGAGCUACUAGAGCCCAGUGAGCAGAAUAAUAAAACAUUUAAAAUACAUGCUAUAAUGGAAUGCAUCACAUCACAGGUAAAUCACAUCACGGAUGGUAUUGUCACCAAGAGUCCUCUACAUUCCAAAGUGCCGGGACGUAGAAUGGGUCAACCGGUCUUUUUCUUAACAUAACAUAACAUAACAUUCCAAUGUGCCAGGGACGUAGAAUGGGUACAACCUGGACUUUCUCUUGCAUAGUUCCAGGGACGUAGAAUGGGUACAACCUGGACUUCCGUACCAUACCGUAUCAUAUCACAUCGUAUCAUAUCGAGGACUAAGGAUCAUCCAAUAACCAUCCACAUCAUCAUCAAAUUACGCAAUGCAACAUAUUCGUGAAUUCUAAUGCAAACAACCUAAAUCAUCACAUGGCAUUCAUGAUGCAUGAACAUGCUCAAAACUUUAUAAUUGAUUUGCUUUAAAACGUAAAGGUUUAUUCUACUCACCUCAACUAGCUCUGACAAUGACUGAAGCAGCUGACUCACUGCUGGGGUCCUCGGUUCCUCGGGUCCGAACCUACACAGGUGGACUCAAAUGAGGGACCAAACAACUAGGACAUAACUCUAAAAACAUCCCCCAAAAACCCCCUAAAACACCUCAAAACAAUCAUGCAAAACAUGCAAAGGAAGGCUGAAUAGGGCACUUUCGGCGGCCGAAAGUCCCUCCAGAGCCGAAAGUCAGGCAGGUUCGGCGGCACCUUCGGCGGCCGAAACUCCCAGACAGAGAUGAAACUCAUGCAUGUUCGGCGGCACUUUUGGCGGCCAAAACUACCCUCCAGAGACGAAAGUCCUCUUUCGGGGGCAGGCUUCGGCAGCCGAAAGGCUUGCCUCCCAGGCAGGUUCGGCGGCCGAAAGUCCUUCGGCUGCCGAACCUGGUUUCUGCCAAAGGGCAAAAACUUGGUUCCUCAUGCACAUUUGCCUUCCAACCUUUUAGAUCAAGCAUAUAACUCACUCAAAACUUACAUAGAUACAUACAUCAGCUCCUAGGGGUUUCAAACUAUCCUAAACCCCAUCUACAACACAUCAAACAACCACAAGCAUCAUACAUUGCUCAAAAACUCAACAUAACCCUUAAACCAACCAAAAACCUAAACAUGCAUUUCUACUCCAAAGAUCAAUGACUCGCGGUUGUCGAAGCUGGUCAAAAAUAACCUUUCUGGUUAUCAACAAUUUUACAACUGCAAAUAGUGGUGAAAGGAUCGAAUCCACAGAAAAUUGAUUACCUAUUUAUUUUUCUCAACAAGACCAAUAAAAUGAACUGAAACAAUAAUAAAUUAAAGAUGAGAUAAAAGACUGAAAGUGGGAUCAAAUGAGAUAAACUGGAAGCAGAAUAAAAAUAAAUUGCAAUAAAAGUAAAAUGGGGGUUUGAGAUUGAUUGUAGUAACUAAUAAUGAGAGUAAUAAUAGAAAGCAAAUAAUUAAAAUAAAAGAGUAAAUCAAUAUGAGAAAAGCCCAGUUGAAGAUAUGGAUCCACUUUGGUUGUUUGGGUUGAUCAUUGAAACUUAAAUUAUCUUGAUUGGUUCAAUAGAUUAGUUAUGGGGGUGGAAGAUGCUUCUCACCACCAUGUCUCUCCUUAUUAUUAAAUUAAUUAUGAAACGUCUUCUAAUCAAUUACUAAUUAACAAAUUGCCAAGGAACGUCCUUGGGCCAUAGGCAUCAAAACAAUUGUCAAUUGCAUAAAGAAAUAGAGAGAUCCAAUCCUAGCUACCCAAACAUAUGGAGAUAACGCUAGAUCAUGCAAUUCCUUGAUUUUUACACCAAGUGUUCUAAAGUCAGAAUAUUUCCAGCAAUUACGGACUAAAAAUAAUCCCAACUAACAAUCAGUUAACUUUGCAAUUAAAAUCAAGUGGCCAAUUUGAUCAAAACAACAAAGUAAUCAUAUAAUUAAAGCAUCAAUUGCAUAAAUAUUGAACAAAACCAAAGAUAAUAAUUUAUGUUCAGAUCUCACAGCCCAUUAAACAACCUUAGUUUCAACCAAUCCUCAACUAGAAUUAAAAAAUUAGGCUAAUUUAAAAACAGAAAAUUAAAAGGAAAAGAAAAGAACCGAAAUUGAAAUCUUGAAUUCUGUCUCCCUGCGGAAUUUGCCGAUUUGAGGAAUUCUGGAAUUGUGAAUUUGUCCGUCCACUGAAGAGCUCUUUAAAUAGAGCUGGAGAGAUGCCCUAAACGCUGUCCACGCGUGCACAUGCCCAUGUGCGAGAGUUGUGCGUGUUUGGUGUGCGCGCUGGUCCAUGGUGCGGUGAUGAAGCGCGGGUCCGUGUGCGUGAGUGGGCUGUGACGUGCGUGAAUUGAGCUUGGUCAUGUGCAAGACGGAGUGGGCCCAAAUGCGGGAGAAUUAGAGAAGGCGCGGUCCACGGGCUGUCCGUGUGCAUGGCCUUGAUUGCGCGGUCCACGCGUAAGAAUGGGCGUCCACAAGCGGAAAUGGGCUUCGUGAGUGAUGAUGAGGCGGGGCCCAUGUGCGUGCUUUGGGGUGGUCCACGGUGCGCUGAGGAUGGACGUGAGUGUUGCUCUGGCGGGGCCCAUGUGCAGGUGAAGGUUGAAGACUUGUGCUUGGUCCAUUCGCUGGAGAUGAACGUGCGGGAAUUGCGAGUGGCGGUGCGAGCUUGAUCACGUGAGGAGAGUUUGUUUCAUUUGCUGGAAUUGAUUGCAGCGCGGGCCAUGAGUGCAAGGUGGUGCGGGAAUGGGCUGAUCCAUAAGUGGGCCCAGAAACUUGAAUAUUUAAGCUUCAAAAUCCUUUCCUCAUUCUUUGCUCCAAUAAGGCAGUUUUAGGGAAAUUUUCUCCAAAUUGUCCUUUUACACUAUUUUCUGUAAAAUAAUAUUAAAAACACUAAAUUAGACAGAAAUCAUGUAAAUAUUUAUUAAUAAUAUUAAUAUAAAAUGGACUAAAUUAUGCUCUAUCAAAUCCCCCCACACUUAGCCUUUUGCUUGUCCUCAAGCAAAUAAGCAUAGUUAAACAAGCUUUCUCACUCUAGAUCCUUAUUUCCACUUAAACUCUUACUCUAGACCUCUAUUUUGAAUCAUUGCAGUGAAGAAUAUAUGCAUGAAGAUUACUCACCUUCUUUCCUUAUUUCCCUUUACUUACUAUGACUAGGAUUUGUUUUCCUCAAGAGAGACCAUACAUGCACAUUUUUGUUAAGACUUUUUCUAGCUUUUGGAUUGACUUGCCCUUACCUUGAAGUACUUUAUUCAGGCUUUUGCACUUUAGAUCUCGCUUGGAAAGGUCACCAACCUAUUUUUGAUUUGAAGGUUUAUAUUUUUCAGUUGGUCACCUAUCCAAGUGGCUACUUGCCUUGUUCAUAGUCUUUUGACCAUUGGAACAAUUUUCAAUUUGUGCUUUUGAGGUCUUUGCCUUUGCUGAAUUUUCUUUCUCUCAAUAAUUUGGGCAAAUCAACACCAAUUGCUAAAUUAAGUCACAUUAAGUUCAUUCACACAACUUUAAUUUAUUCUCAAUCAAUUGAGGGUCAUCAAUAUAUUUUUCACCAUGGCAAACUCAAAGAUUCAAUUCAAAAGGCAAUUCUCAAACAUGAAUAUAACCCACUGCAAGUGAUUCAAUAUAAGUUUAAAGAGUUUUCACAUCAAUGGGGUCAUGGAAAGAAAGACUCAUUCAACAUAGUUCAUCAGUUUUGAGUAGAGCAAAACAAAAAGAAGAAGAUGGUUGUGGUUGUGUGUGUAUUAUUGAAAGCAAAAAUAUACUAAAAGAAAACUGAAAGCAUAAAUCGCAUAACUGAAAAAUAUAUUUUUUUUUUUUUUGAAAAAUCUGAAAGGAGAAAUUGCAAAAGAGGGAAGAAGAAGAUAGAAAGAAAGAGAAAGAGAAGAGGAAGAAGAGAUAUGCACCCCCACACUUAAAUCAUGCAUUGUCCUCAAUGUAAAGAAGAGAGAAAAAGAGAACAAAGGAAACUGAGUACUCCCCUGGGGUGUGGUGUGCAUGGCAUGAUCUUCUUAGGCAGAGUGAGUGACGAACAGAUGUUCGUCUGGGAAUGCUUCCUCAACUAGGCAAGGCGUAGAACUGGAUGGAAGCCGACUGAGGUGAUCAGCCACAAGAUUUUCCUUGCCUUUUUUGUCUCUUAUCUCCAGAUCAAAUUCUUGUAGGAGAAGAAUCCACCUAAUUAGUCUUGGCUUGGCUUCCUUUUUCUUGAUCAGAUAUCGCAGAGCCGCAUGGUCAGAAUAGACAAUGACUUUGGUACCCAAGAGGUAGGGUCUGAAUUUUUCCAAAGCAAACACAACUGCCAAGAGUUCUUUUUCAGUUGUUGUAUAAUUGCUUUGUGCAGCAUCCAGGGUGCGAGAGGCAUAGUGAAUGACGUGGGGUGAGUUUCCCACACGUUGCCCUAAGACUGCUCCCACUGCAUAAUUGCUUGCAUCACACAUGAUUUCAAAAGGCAAGUUCCAGUCAGGUCCUUGAAUAAUUGGGGCAGUCACAAGCAAUUCUUUAAUCAAGUCAAAUGCCUUUUUGCAGUCUGCAUCAAAAUCAAAGGUUACAUCCUGUUGGAGCAAUCUGCAUAAUGGCAAAGUGAUUUUUGAGAAAUCUUUGAUGAAUCUUCUAUAGAAUCCUGCAUGGCCAAGGAAUGAUCGGAUGUCUUUAACAGUUGUGGGAUAAGGCAGAUUUUUUAUGGUAUCCACUUUUGCUUUGUUCACUUCAAUGCCUUUAGCUGAAACAACAUGACCUAAGACCAUACCUUGAUUAACCAUAAAAUGGCAUUUUUCAUAAUUAAGCACAAGGUUAGUCUCAAUGCAUCUUUGCAAGAUCUUUUCUAAAUUGGUAAGGCAUUCAUCAAAAGAAUUUCCAUGAACUGUGAAGUCAUCCAUAAAUACCUCAAUUGUCUUACCCACAUAGUCAGAAAAUAUGCUCAUCAUGCACCGUUGAAAAGUGGCAGGUGCAUUGCAUAGUCCAAAUGGCAUUCUUCUAAAGGCAAAAGUGCCAAAGGGACAAGUGAAGGUGGUUUUCUCUUGGUCCACUGGGGCAACUGGAAUUUGAUAGAAACCUGAAUAACCAUCAAGACAACAAUAGUGAGUUUUACCUGCAAGCCUUUCUAGCAUCUGAUCAAUGAAAGGCAAUGGGAAGUGGUCCUUCCUUGUUGCAGCAUUGAGCUUCCUAUAGUCCAUGCAUACUCUCCAUCCAUUUUGAACUCUAGUGGGAACAAGUUCUCCUUCAGCAUUUGGAACAAAGGUGAUCCCAGUUUUCUUUAGGACUACAUGCACAGGACUCACCCAUUUGCUAUCAGAGAUAGGGUAGAUAAUACCUGCAUCAAGGAGCUUGACUAUUUCUUUCUUCACCACUUCCAUCAUAGGUGGAUUCAGUCUUCUUUGAGCAUCUCUGACUGGCUUGCAUUCAUCCUCCAUAUGAAUUCUAUGCAUGCAUGUGGAAGGUGAAAUACCUUUUAUGUCAUCUAUGGUCCAUCCUAUGGCUCCUUUGUGUUUCUGCAGUACUUUUAGGAGGCUUGUUUCUUCAUGUUGGUUUAAUUCAUUGGACACUAUUACUGGUAAUGUCUUGUCAGUCCCCAAGUACAUGUAUUUCAGAUGGCCUGGAAGGGGCUUCAGAUCUGAAGAGUGUUGCAAGGGUGUCUGCGCAGAGGUGGUUUCAGAAAUCUCCUUUUGCGCAAAGCUCGACUGCAGAGGAGAUGGCGCAGAACUGGAUCCAAAAGUUUCCUUUUGCGCAGGAAGGGUCUGCACACCAUUCUGAAGUGGUGCAACUGAGUUUUCUCCAAUCUGUGCUUGACUGCAAACUAUCUGUUGGAUGCUACAGACUGUUUCCUUAAGUUUCGGCUCUUUCUGGCUCUCAAUCUGUACCUGAUCAAUAUCUCUGCAGAAAUCACUGUUAAGAAUAUCAUCUUGAUUUUUGUCAAAAAUUUCCUGGCUCAAGCAGUCAACAAUAUCAAGACCAUAAACAGGGGACAUAUCAUGUGGAUAUUUCAUAGAAUCAUAGACAUUAUAUUUAAUGACUUCCCCUUCAAAUUCCAUAGUGAGAGUACCAUUAUGCACAUCAAUCGUAGUUCUAGCAGUACUUAAGAAAGGACGUCCAAGAAGGAUAUCAGAACUAGUAUUAUAACUAUCUUCCUUAGUAUCAAUCACAUAAAAAUCAGCAGGAAAGACAAGCUCAUUUACUUGGACUAACACAUCUUCUAGAACACCUAUGGGAUAUACCACAGAUCUAUCAGUUAGUUGAAUCACAACUCUUGUUUCUUUGAGUGCACAUGCAUUGAGAGAUUUAUAGAUGGAGAGAGGCAUGACAUUUAUGGAUGCACCAAGAUCACACAUGGCUUUCCUUAUACCAACAUUCCCAAUUUUACAAGAGAUAGCGAACAUACCUUUGUCCUUGCAUUUGGUAGGGAGUUCUCUUUUAAUAACAGCAGUCACAACCUCACCUACACUUACUUUUUCUCUCUCUGCAAGCUUUCUCCUAUUAGUGCAAAGUUCUUUCAGAAAUUUAGCGUACCUGGGAAUCUGCUUAACAGCAUCUAGCAGAGGUAUAUUGAUUUGUACUUUUCUGAAAGUGUCAAGGAUCUCCUUUUCUUCCUUUUCUUUUUGUGUUCUUUCAAAUCUCUUGGGAAAAGGAGGUGGAAUGUGAAAGCUUACCUUUGGGUCAGUCUUUUGUGUAGGAGGAGCUGCGGAUUGCGAUGGAGAGGCUUCAGGUGGCUUUGGUUCUUUUUCUUGCUCAUGAUUAGUGUCUCGAAACUCUUUGCCACUUCUCAAAGUAAUAGCACUAACAUUCUGUCUGGGGUUGGUUUCAGUUUGAGAAGGGAGCUUACCUUGGGAUUGCAGUUGGCCUAUAGAGGUGGCCAUUUGGCUUAGGUCUUGUCGCACGCCUUGCAUAGAUGUGGUCAUUUGGCCUAGGUCUUGUCGCACGCCUUGCAUGGUGCUCACCAUUGUUUCCAUCAUUGUUUGCAUGAUCUUCUCAAGGUUCUGAUUUGGAGUUGAAGGUACUGGUUGGGCUUGAUUUCUUUGGUAACUUUGGUAGUUCUGAUCACUGUUGCUCUUUCCAUAGCUAAAAUUGGGGUGAUCUUUCCAACCUGGAUUGUAUGUAGUGGAGUAUGGAUCAUAUCUAGGCUGGUUGUUGUACCUCCCAAUGGCGUUGGCCUGCUGAUGGUCUUCUUGGAGUGUGGGACAUUGAUCAGUUGGGUGUCCCACACAUAAACAAAUCCCACAUGGCCUAGGUGGCUGGGGUGCUUGAAUCUGUUGUACCACAUCUACCACAGCAUUUUUUAUAACAGAUAUUAGUUCAGACAUAGAAGGAAAAUUUACCUCAUUGGCCCUUUGUAGUUGCCUCUCUUCUCCAUACUGCCUAGAUGAGGCUGCAAGAGUGGAGAUUAAUUCUCUCAUUUGUCUAGGUGUUUUGUCUUCAAUGGAGCCUCCACAGGUUACAUAAAUGAAUUUUCUUUCUGAGGAAGAUAAUCCUCCAUAGAAGAAUUGUAUAAGGGCCUUGUCUUACAUGUCAUGUUGAGGGCAUUUUGUGCAAAGUCUUUCAAAUCUUUCCCAAUAAUCAUAAAGGUCCUCAGAUGGUUUUUGCUUUAUGCUUGUGAUUUCCCUUAUUAUGCCAAUUGAUUUAUGGGUUGGGAAGUAUUUAUUCAAAAAGGCUUUGACCAUAUCAUCCCAAGAAGUAAUAGAUCCAUGUGGCAAGUAAAAUAACCAAUCUUUAGCAAAGUCUUCUAAUGAAAAGGGGAAGGCUCUUAACUUAAUUUGGUCUUCAAAGAUACCUUGAGGUUUCAUAGAUGAACAGAUCAUAUUGAAUGCUUUUAAGUGCUUGUGUGGAUUUUCAUUUUCUUUACCUCUAAACUUAGGGAGAAUGUGUAUCAAACCUGUCUUCAGUUCAAAGGGAACUGUCAGAGGUGGGUAGGUGAUGCAAAGUGGUGCAUAGUCACCUACAGGGGUUGCCAAUUCUCCCAUAGUUCUUUCUCUUUGUUCUUGAGGCCUAUUUGCUGGAUUUUCUUGGACUAUUUGGUUCUGGAUANNNNNNNN